This 3076-nucleotide long non-coding RNA is filed under the name Monodelphis domestica (gray short-tailed opossum). RNAcentral's name for it is "lncRNA (ENSMODG00000041240.1)". Lineage: Eukaryota; Metazoa; Chordata; Mammalia; Didelphimorphia; Didelphidae. The record is from RNAcentral.
UCUUCCUUCCCUUCCCUCCCUUCCCUCCCUUCCCUCCCUUCCCUCCCUCCCUCCCUCCCUCCCUUCCUUCCUUCCUUCCUUCCUUUCUUCCUUCCUUCCUUCCUUCCUUCCUUCCUUCCUUCCUUCCUUCCUUCCUUCCUUCCUUCCUUCCUUCCUUCCUUCCUUCCUUUCUUUCUUUCCCUCCUUCCUUUCUUUCUUUCCCUCCUUCCUUUUUUCUCUUUCUUUCUUUCUUUCUUUCUUUCUUUUUUUUUCUGAAAUUCUUUCUUUCUUUCUUUCUUUCUUUCUUUCUUUCUUUCUUUCUUUCUUUCUUUCUUUCUUUCUUUCUUUCUUUCUUUCUUUCUUUCUUUCUUUCUUUCUUUCUUUCUUUCUUUCUUUCUUUCUUUCUUUCUUUCUUUCUUUCUUUCUUUCUUUCUUUCUCUCUUUCUUUCUUUCUCUCUUUCUUUCUUUCUUUUUUUUUUUGCUAUAUCCUUUUAAACCAGUGGUUUGCUUUUAAUUUGUUCCCCCAAUCCAAGCCCUUAAUAAUCUUCCCUUUCUGGCCCAUCCCUUUGUGUUCACUUCUUAUUUUUUCAGGGUCUGUUAAGUUCUCUCCCCCCUCUCUUUCCCUCCCUUUUUGUACCCCCUGCCCCCCAGCCCUUAGUUUUCCCUUCUUUCUUUCCCUAUAGAGUAAGUUAGAAUUGAAUAUCCCAAUGGAUCUAGAUGCUCCUCUCUCUUAGAAUUAAUUUCACUGAGAGUAAGGUUUAAGUAUUACCUAUUAGCACUCUCUUCCUCUCCUUCUUAUAAGAGUAUUCUUCCCCUCCCCUUCCCAUGUGUAUCUUUGUGUGAUAAAGAUUAUCCUAUUUAUUUUAUUUCUUCAAGUAUCUCUUGGUGCCAUCUUCAAUCCCCCCCUACCUUUUUCUUUUCUUUUCUUUUUUCUUUUUGCAUAUCAUCUUAUAGCACUUAUUACUCCAACCUUUUCCUGGAAAUGAAUCCUCUGAUUACUAUAAUAGUGAAUAUAAUUUUUGAGUUACAAAUAAUGUUUCCCCAUAUACUAAUAUAAAUAAUUUCAUCUUAUGGAAGCCCUUAAAGAAGAAUGUUUGUAUAAAAAACAUUUUUCCCUUUUCCCUAUCUUUCUUAUUUACCUUUUCAUGUUUCUCUUGAUCUUGGUGUUUGGAUAUCAAACUUUCCACUUAGUUCUGGUCUUUUCUUUACAAAUACUUGGAAAUCCUUUAUUUUGUUGAAUGCCCAUACCUUCCACUGGAAGUAUAGAGUCAGUUUUGAUUGGUAGGUGAUCCUUUGUUGAAGACCCAAUUCUCUUGCCUCUUUGAAUAUCAUAUUACAAGCCUUGUGGUCCUUUAGUGUGGAAGCUGCCAGGUCUUGUGUAAUCCUGAUUGGUGCUCUUUAUAUCUGAAUUGUUUAUUUUUGGCUUCUUAUAAAAAUUUCUCCUUAGCUUGGAAGCUCUUGAAUUUGGCAAUUACAUUCCUGGGAGUUGUCUUUUGAGGAUUUAGUUUAGAGGGUGUUCUAUGAAUGCUUUCAAUGUCUAUUUUGUCCCCUUGUUCAAGAACAUCAGAGCAGUUUUCUUAGAUAAUUUCUUGUAGUAUGAUGUCAAGAUUUCUGUUUAUUUCUGUGUUUUCAGGUAGACCAAUGAUUCUCAAAUUGUCUCUUUGUGCUCUUUUUUCCUGAUCUGUCAUCUUUUCAGUGAGAUAUUUUAUAUUUUCUUCUAUUUUGUCAGUCUUUUGACUUUGCUUUAUUAAUUCUUGCUGUUUUGCAAGAUCAUUGACUUCCAAUUGCCUAAUUCUGGUCUUUAAGGCUGGGUCUCCUUUUUGGUUUGGUCUAUCCUGCUUUCGUGGCUUCCAACUCUUUCUCCAAUUGGGAGUUCUUGUCUUUUAAACUGUUAUUUUCUUUUUUGAACUAUUUCCCACUUUUCUUGCCAGAAGGCUUCCAUCUUUUUGAUAAGCUCCAAUUUAAAUUUUUCAAGAGCUUGUGGACAAUUUCCACUAUUUUUAAAAAAUCAUUUUGUUGCAUUUAUUUGAAUUUCCUCUUAUAUUUCCUCUGUAGUCUCAGCUUUUCCUUCAUAAAAAUUUUCCAGGGUCAACUCCUUGUUUUUCUUAGUGGAGGGAGGUUGUUGUUCCUGGAGACUAUUUGCCAUCAUUGUGGAGGUUUUUCCUUCCAUUUUUAGUCAGAAAUCUGAGUGAGAUGGGCAGGCUUUCUGUGUAUUCCUAAAUUACAUAGACAUUUUUAGGUCUCAUAAAUUUUUUGGAUUGCAAGUUCUCUCUCUCUCUCUCUCUCUCUCUCUCUCUCUCUCUCUCUCUCUCUCUCCCUUUGUCUCUUACUUCUCUUUCCCUCCUUCCUUUCCUUGUCUACCCCUUGAGAAAGCAAGCCAUAUAACUAUUACCCUUAUGAAGUCAUGAAAAAAGUAUGUUCACAUUAUCCAGUUUCAAAAGAAAAAACACACACACAAAAAAGCCAAGAAGAAUUAAAACAGUAAAAAUGUAUGUUUCAAUCGGUUCUCAGAGUUUAAAUCAGUUCUUUCUUUGGAAGUGAAUAUCAUUCAUCAUCAAGGGUCAAUUUUCUCUUUGAUGUGAACUCACAGUGGGCAGUAAUUGGCAGUAAUAGGAACAGGUCCCUCAUACUGUGAAAUUUUGAAUUUCUCACUAGUUAGCACUAGUUAAACAUCAACUACAAAAUAUGUAGUUUCAGCAUUAGUCAAGUAUGAAUUGUAGAUUGUUCAGUUAUCCACUCUGUGUAAUAGAUGUGUAACAUUCUAUAUUAGGCAUCAGCUUUUUAUUCUUAGAAAUAAUUAAUUACUUAGAGUGGUACUCCAAUGUUCUACAUCCCUCCCCACUCCCCAACUGCCCACACCAUAUUUCCAGUCCAGAAGGUCAGCAAGACCUCUCCCACAUUGACAAAUGAUGACAAGGUGGACAAUGGAGGAGCAUGGUAUCAGUGCACUGGGGACUCUGGCAUUCCAGAAGAAUUUCCCAAUCUUGCACAUGCUCUUUAUUCACUAUGGCAACAAUCUCCAAAACAUACUUCUACCUGAGUUCGGAAGGGAGAUGCUAAGCCACCGGACUGCAAUAAAUAUGUCAACCCUGAUCCA